GAUCAUGGCUCAGGAUGAACGCUAGCGGCAGGCUUAACACAUGCAAGUCGAGGGGCAGCAUAAUGGAUAGCAAUAUCUAUGGUGGCGACCGGCGCACGGGUGCGUAACGCGUAUGCAACCUACCUUUAACAGGGGGAUAACACUGAGAAAUUGGUACUAAUACCCCAUAAUACCAUAGAAGGCAUCUUUUAUUGGUUGAAAAUUACCGAUGGUUAGAGAUGGGCGAUGCGUUGUAUUAG
RNAcentral lists this ribosomal RNA (239 nucleotides) under uncultured bacterium. RNAcentral describes it as "partial 16S ribosomal RNA". It matches the Rfam family "Bacterial small subunit ribosomal RNA", at positions 15 to 244 of the family's 1533-position model. The record is from RNAcentral.